AACGAACGCUGGCGGCAUGCCUAACACAUGCAAGUCGAACGAGACCUUCGGGUCUAGUGGCGCACGGGUGCGUAACGCGUGGGAACCUGCCUUUAGGUUCGGAAUAACUCAGAGAAAUUUGAGCUAAUACCGGAUGAUGUCUUCGGACCAAAGAUUUAUCGCCUUUAGAUGGGCCCGCGUUGGAUUAGCUAGUUGGUGGGGUAAAGGCCUACCAAGGCGACGAUCCAUAGCUGGUCUGAGAGGAUGAUCAGCCACACUGGGACUGAGACACGGCCCAGACUCCUACGGGAGGCAGCAGUGGGGAAUACUGGACAAUGGGCGAAAGCCUGAUCCAGCAAUGCCGCGUGAGUGAUGAAGGCCUUAGGGUUGUAAAGCUCUUUUACCCGAGAUGAUAAUGACAGUAUCGGGAGAAUAAGCUCCGGCUAACUCCGUG
This 433-nucleotide ribosomal RNA is filed under the name uncultured bacterium. RNAcentral describes it as "partial 16S ribosomal RNA". It matches the Rfam family "Bacterial small subunit ribosomal RNA", at positions 29 to 507 of the family's 1533-position model. The record is from RNAcentral.